CUUGGUCACACUCCCGCCCACCGACGCUUCCGGCGAUGGUCAAAGCCUUCCAUGGACGACCUGUUUCGAGGAUUUCGGCUCCAUGAAACUGCCCGCCCCCGGUGCGCAUGUCCUUGGGCCCUGCUGCCUCAACAUGUGCGGCGCGGUGCAUUGCUCCGAUAUCGCCAUCCUGGGUAUCCACCGGAAGCCCCCGAUGAUCGACCGCGACUGGAUCGACAAACUGUGCGAACUUCCGAUUGCCAUCGCUGCCUGUCCUACUGGGGCCAUCAAGCCGGCCAACGCCGAAUGCG
RNAcentral lists this ribosomal RNA (290 nucleotides) under uncultured sulfate-reducing bacterium. Its description in RNAcentral is "partial 16S ribosomal RNA". The record is from RNAcentral.